UCAGCGGUGGUAUUAUGGUUGUGAGGCGGUGGUUCAAUUGGCUACUAGUGGUGGUUAGGUGGAGGAGAAGGGAAGAAAAGGGGCAAUUAAGUGAUAAAAAUGAAAGAAAAUGAGAGAAAAGGGGAGGAGCGAGGAGGAUGAUAAAAACGAGAGGGGAGGAGAGCAAAAUGAAAAACAAUAAAAAGUGAAGCAUGUGUCUACAUGCAUUGGACGACAUCAACUAGGAAAUGGAGGAGAGAAAGGAAAGUUUCGGGACAAGGGGAGCAAAUGGUGGAUCAUGGAGGGAAUAAAGGAACAAAAAGGGAAUGUUGACCAUGCAAACAAGGAAAGAAUCUUCCCAAGCAUGGCAACUCAUGGG
RNAcentral lists this long non-coding RNA (358 nucleotides) under Gossypium raimondii (Peruvian cotton). RNAcentral's name for it is "long non-coding RNA (GRAI_LNC006346)". Lineage: Eukaryota; Viridiplantae; Streptophyta; Magnoliopsida; Malvales; Malvaceae. The record is from RNAcentral.